ACCCUUGAGCCUCCCUUCCACUCCGGUCUCUCAAGAUGCAGAAUCCUCGAGCCCCCCUUUCACUCCGGUCUCUCAAGAUCCCAAAACCACAAGCCCCCCUUCCACUCCGGUCUCUCAAGAUGCAGAACCCUCGAGCCCCCCUUCCACUC
Molecule: long non-coding RNA, 149 nt
Organism: Acipenser ruthenus (sterlet)
Lineage: Eukaryota; Metazoa; Chordata; Actinopteri; Acipenseriformes; Acipenseridae
Exons: 4
Source: RefSeq, a predicted model, not a curated record